Molecule: ribosomal RNA, 422 nt
Filed under: uncultured Sphingobacteriaceae bacterium
Lineage: Bacteria; Pseudomonadati; Bacteroidota; Sphingobacteriia; Sphingobacteriales; Sphingobacteriaceae
Description: bacterial SSU rRNA
Rfam family: Bacterial small subunit ribosomal RNA
Source: RNAcentral
UAAGGAAUAUUGGUCAAUGGACGGAAGUCUGAACCAGCCAUGCCGCGUGCAGGAAGACUGCCCUAUGGGUUGUAAACUGCUUUUAUACGGGAACAAACGUCGGUACGUGUACCGGUCUGAGUGUACCGUAAGAAUAAGGAUCGGCUAACUCCGUGCCAGCAGCCGCGGUAAUACGGAGGAUCCGAGCGUUAUCCGGAAUUAUUGGGUUUAAAGGGUGCGUAGGCGGCCAGAUAAGUCAGGGGUGAAAGUCGGCAGCUCAACUGUCGCAGUGCCUUUGAUACUGUUUGGCUUGAAUUCGGUUGAAGAUGGCGGAAUGAGACAAGUAGCGGUGAAAUGCAUAGAUAUGUCUCAGAACACCGAUUGCGAAGGCAGCUAUCUAAUCCGUUAUUGACGCUGAUGCACGAAAGCGUGGGGAGCAAACA